GUCAGGGUAGCUCAGCUGGCUAGAGCGCUGGUCUCAUAAGCCGGAGGUCGAGAGUUCAAGUCUCUCCCUUGACACCA
This 77-nucleotide transfer RNA is filed under the name Campylobacterales bacterium. RNAcentral's name for it is "tRNA-Met". It matches the Rfam family "tRNA". From Rfam's summary of the family: Transfer RNA (tRNA) molecules are approximately 80 nucleotides in length. The record is from RNAcentral. Lineage: Bacteria; Pseudomonadati; Campylobacterota; Epsilonproteobacteria; Campylobacterales.